Molecule: small nucleolar RNA, 134 nt
Organism: Acomys russatus (golden spiny mouse)
Lineage: Eukaryota; Metazoa; Chordata; Mammalia; Rodentia; Muridae
Product: small nucleolar RNA SNORA17
Exons: 1
Source: RefSeq, a predicted model, not a curated record
UUUGCCCCUAGAGGCAUUGCAGGUGUGGCUGCUGUGUCACAUGUGCGUGUCAGCAAGUGGCAGAGGGGAGAGAGGAUAUGUCUGUGUUCAGUGUUGUGACCUAUGAACAUCUGAAUGAUUAGUAGCCUAACAUU